Molecule: long non-coding RNA, 234 nt
Filed under: Elaeis guineensis (African oil palm)
Lineage: Eukaryota; Viridiplantae; Streptophyta; Magnoliopsida; Arecales; Arecaceae
Description: long non-coding RNA (EGUI_LNC020953)
Source: RNAcentral
UUGCUUGGCUUGUAGAGUGGUCCGUGCAAUUGCCAUUCUUAGAUGGGGAUGCAUGAACCAGAGACCGGAAGAGUCCUUUGUCUUCUUGUUCUUGUUCAAUAUCUGAAAAAGAAUCACCAACCCAGAAACGACCAUCAAGCAGCUGUGAGGGCUCAAAAGAAAAGAAAGAAGAAACAUGCGCUGCAUGAACAACCCACCUGCACCCACCAACAAUAACCUACAAUGAUUUUGUCA